GGCCCGGUGGUGUAGUGGUCGCACAUUCCAUCAUUACGCGCUUCUGAGAAAUGAACUUGGAUGAGAUGUCGAGGUUGGAAAGGCCUUGGGUUCAAAUCCCAUCCGGGCCU
This 110-nucleotide transfer RNA is filed under the name Daldinia loculata. Its description in RNAcentral is "tRNA-Asn". It matches the Rfam family "tRNA". From Rfam's summary of the family: Transfer RNA (tRNA) molecules are approximately 80 nucleotides in length. Lineage: Eukaryota; Fungi; Ascomycota; Sordariomycetes; Xylariales; Hypoxylaceae. The record is from RNAcentral.